GCUGGUAUAGCUUAGUGGUAGACAGGAUGCCUAGCAUGCAUGAGGUCCUGGGUUCAAUUCCCAGUACCGCCA
This 72-nucleotide transfer RNA is filed under the name Camelus bactrianus (Bactrian camel). It matches the Rfam family "tRNA". Rfam says of the family: Transfer RNA (tRNA) molecules are approximately 80 nucleotides in length. The record is from Rfam by way of RNAcentral. RNAcentral also lists the same sequence under 2 other names. Lineage: Eukaryota; Metazoa; Chordata; Mammalia; Artiodactyla; Camelidae.